This 460-nucleotide ribosomal RNA is filed under the name uncultured bacterium. RNAcentral's name for it is "bacterial SSU rRNA". It matches the Rfam family "Bacterial small subunit ribosomal RNA", at positions 29 to 529 of the family's 1533-position model. The record is from RNAcentral.
AACGAACGCUGGCGGCAUGCCUAACACAUGCAAGUCGAACGAGACCUUCGGGUCUAGUGGCGCACGGGUGCGUAACGCGUGGGAAUCUACCCUUGGGUUCGGAAUAACUCAGAGAAAUUUGAGCUAAUACCGGAUGAUGUCGCGAGACCAAAGAUUUAUCGCCCAGGGAUGAGCCCGCGUAGGAUUAGCUAGUUGGUGAGGUAAAGGCUCACCAAGGCGACGAUCCUUAGCUGGUCUGAGAGGAUGAUCAGCCACACUGGGACUGAGACACGGCCCAGACUCCUACGGGAGGCAGCAGUGGGGAAUAUUGGACAAUGGGCGAAAGCCUGAUCCAGCAAUGCCGCGUGAGUGAUGAAGGCCUUAGGGUUGUAAAGCUCUUUUACCCGGGAUGAUAAUGACAGUACCGGGAGAAUAAGCCCCGGCUAACUCCGUGCCAGCAGCCGCGGUAAGCAUACUCGUA